CCCUGGACUAUGCAGAAUGGGAGUGCCGUCUGCUGCAGUUCCUGAGAACAUCUCUGGAAGCCAUAAAGAAUGAGACCUGGAAUAUGAAGCUGAAUGGCGAGUUAACUCAGCAGAUGGCCCACUAUCCAAACUUUUCCAAGGAGAAGAAUUUCCUCUAUAAGGCUGUGGGGGGAGCACUGGCAGCGUCUCAGAACAUCAGCUACAUUGAAGAACAGCUGCAGAGCUACUUGG
This is a long non-coding RNA of Dromaius novaehollandiae (emu), 231 nucleotides long. RefSeq lists it as uncharacterized. NCBI's taxonomy places the organism in Eukaryota, Metazoa, Chordata, Aves, Casuariiformes, Dromaiidae. The record is from RefSeq and is a predicted model, not a curated record. The transcript is spliced from 3 exons.